GCCUAACACAUGCAAGUCGAACGAAGCGCCUUUUGAGAUUCUUCGGAUGAUUGAUUGGUGACUGAGUGGCGGACGGGUGAGUAACGCGUGGGUAACCUGCCCUGUACAGGGGGAUAACAGCUGGAAACGGCUGCUAAUACCGCAUAAGCGCACGAGGAGACAUCUCCUAGUGUGAAAAACUCCGGUGGUACAGGAUGGGCCCGCGUCUGAUUAGCUGGUUGGCAGGGUAACGGCCUACCAAGGCAACGAUCAGUAGCCGGUCUGAGAGGAUGAACGGCCACAUUGGAACUGAGACACGGUCCAAACUCCUACGGGAGGCAGCAGUGGGGAAUAUUGCACAAUGGGGGAAACCCUGAUGCAGCAACGCCGCGUGAGUGAAGAAGUAUUUCGGUAUGUAAAGCUCUAUCAGCAGGGAAGAUAAUGACGGUACCUGACUAAGAAGCUCCGGCUAAAUACGUGCCAGCAGCCGCGGUAAUACGUAUGGAGCAAGCGUUAUCCGGAUUUACUGGGUGUAAAGGGUGCGUAGGUGGCAGUGCAAGUCAGAUGUGAAAGGCCGGG
Molecule: ribosomal RNA, 558 nt
Filed under: uncultured Lachnospiraceae bacterium
Lineage: Bacteria; Bacillati; Bacillota; Clostridia; Lachnospirales; Lachnospiraceae
Description: bacterial SSU rRNA
Rfam family: Bacterial small subunit ribosomal RNA
Source: RNAcentral